UACGAAGGGGGCUAGCGUUGUUCGGAAUUACUGGGCGUAAAGAGUGUGUAGGCGGUGUUCUAAGUCUGGUGUGAAAUCUCCCGGCUCAACUGGGAGGGUGCGCUAGAAACUGGAAUGCUAGAGGAUGGGAGAGGUAAGCGGAAUUCCUGGUGUAGCGGUGAAAUGCGUAGAGAUGUGGAGGAACACCGAUGGCGAAGGCAGCCCCCUGGGUCAACACUGACGCUCAUGCACGAAAGCGUGGGGAGCAAACAGG
This 253-nucleotide ribosomal RNA is filed under the name uncultured bacterium. Its description in RNAcentral is "partial 16S ribosomal RNA". It matches the Rfam family "Bacterial small subunit ribosomal RNA", at positions 524 to 776 of the family's 1533-position model. The record is from RNAcentral.